Apis cerana (Asiatic honeybee) is the source of this 3498-nucleotide long non-coding RNA. RefSeq lists it as uncharacterized. Lineage: Eukaryota; Metazoa; Arthropoda; Insecta; Hymenoptera; Apidae. The record is from RefSeq and is a predicted model, not a curated record.
UUAUCGAGGGUUUUACUCUUCAAAAUUAUUACGAAUACUCUGAUAUAUUCGAUUGGAAAACGUUUCUGAAAUUCGCAAGAGGCGUGAAGAAUCGCAACAUUAUGAAAUAGCGAAAAACAGAGCACUGACUCUUGUACAACAGUGAACUUACGUGUACAACUUAUCCUCUGCAUUCUUCAUAUUUAUAAAAUACUGAUGCUGACUAGAAUUAGCCACGACAGUGUAAUUGAUUCUAGAUUGUCUGGCUAAUUGUUCCAAGGAUUGCACAGGAGACUGAAACAAUACACGAUAUAUUGAGAAUAUUAGUCCUCAUUUUCAAGAUCGAAAGUAAGGAAAGCAGCUAAAUUAGCAGUGAAUGUAGCCAACAUUAAAACAACGAAUAACCAAUAAGCAGCAACCAGUAUCCUGCUUGAUAAUGCUUUGGGUGCCUCGCCGCCACCUUGGGGUGUGAAAGACGUCAAGGCGAACCAGAAACUCUCCUUCAACGUGAAUUCUCUAAACACAGAAUAUAAUUAACAUAAUCAUUAUUGAUUAAGUAAUUGCUUUGUCUUUAUGACAAUCAUUAACGAUAAGAUAUAGUGGUCAUUAAGGGUGAUUUAUAGUAAUCUUGAUCUAAUUCCAGCAAAUGAAAGAUAUUGACGCGAGCAUUACUAUAAUAAUAAUAAUAAUAAUAAUAAUAAUUGAUCUAAAUUUCCACUGAUGAGACUUUGAUAAUUUUUAUAAUAAUUUUUAAUGAUUAAAAUUUUAGAAAUUUUAAAGUUAUUACCGACAAGGAUACGGAUACAGUUGUUUAUUAUUCCUGGCGCUAUAAGGAGAAUAUUUGUCAAGUAUCCAAAUCAUGAUGCCGGUUAAUGUUAAAGCUCCUACGAUGCUUAACCACACUUCGACUUUGAGUACCGUCAUAAAUUUGAAAAGGGAUGGUUUGCGGACAGGUUUCCUCAUUACUUAUAGUAAAAAAUUAGAAAAAAAAAUCGUAUAAUGUAAAAGUUUGUUGAUAUUUAAAUUAAAAAUAAUUAUAUUAUUUACCAAUUAAUAAGCCGGAUUGUUCGAAAUAAGGGGCGACGAAAUCUAUCACUUCCUCGCGUUCUGAAGUCAUUGUCAAUGCAGCAACUAUGAUAUCUGUCUCCUAAAAAAAAAUAAUUAAAAAAAAAAAGAAAGUAAAACGUAAUAAAAAAAUAAAAUAAAGAAAUAUAAAGAAAUGAAUUCAUAAAAGAAGAAUAUUAACUUGACAAAAUUGAUUUGGAAAAAUUGAAGAAGAUGAUGUUUUAACUACUAAGAGGUAUGCAAGGUUGCAGAGUUAUAGGCGCCAUCGAGUUCAAUAUAUUAAGAAAAUUUUGAUAUUUCUUUAAUAAGAUGAAAAAAAAAAAAAAUAAAAGUAAAAUGUGAUAAAUAAAAAAUAAUAAUAUUAAGAAUUUGAUAGAAAGUUUAUGAAAAUAAUGUAUAAUUAUACAAGAAGAUUUGCAUGAUUGGAUGCAGAUUCACAGAUGCCAUGAAAUUCAGUGUACAAAUCUUACUCCUUUAGCUAGAUCACCAAUCAAACCAUUCCAUUGUCCAUUAGGUAAUUUCUUGCCAAACUGUCGAUCUUGAGGUACGACAAGAUCAUAAUCAAAUUGCAUCUCCUCCGAUAAUUUCUUCACAAAAUCUAUGCAAUAUCCAUCCCACAUAUCAUUUCCAUUCUCAUUUUUCAUAACUUUUCCAGUCGCUGGAUCGAUUUUAGGUAUUAUCCAAGGCACUGACUAAUACAAUUUUAAUACCUGUAUUAAUUAAUUAACGUUUACAAAUUCACAAUGAAAUUAAAUGAAAUUUGUUUAUUAAUUACAGGAGUAAUUCCAAUUCGAAAGAAUCUUUUAGCGGCUUUAUACGUGAUCAUUCCUUUCUCCGACCAAUACUCAAAUGUAUCGUUGCCUCCUAGUUUCUGUGGCAAAUUGAAUGUUUUCUUCAAUUUCCAACGAUCUUUAUUUUGCACAAUUUUAAACUGGUGACUUACGGCAAGUAUAUUCUUGUUAAACGCCUCAAUCGUGACAUUUGAACUUUGAUUCUUGUUUGAAAAGCAUUUGCCACUUUUUGGCUCCACGCUAAUACCUGAUGCCUGAAGUUCGCUCAUCAGACUCACGAUGAGGCCUACUAAUCGUUUAAAAUAAUUCGAAAAUAUCUACAGAACCAUCGCAAGAUUAAACAAAAUUAUUCUAAUUAUCAAAGAGACUAUGCAAAACUAUAGAAAAACUCUCAAGUACUUUAAUAUCUGAAGGACAGUUGCAAAGGGAUUCACCAAUCAAUUUACAACAAACGUCCAUCUUCAUCCAUAGAACCGUGAUGGAAACGUUCAACUGACCAGAGAUUGACCGAGUCGGCGCAGGAGAUGCGGAAGGUUUCAAGUCAGACAGGUUCGUCACGUGAAUAAUUCAACAAUAGUACAGCAACCUUUCCGUAUCGAUGUAUCGAUGAACCAAUCAAAAUUUCAUGCCAUCGUGCAAUCAAUGUUUAACUCGUGUAUUUAAUUUCGUAUCACCGUGCAAUAUUGUACGAAGAAAAGAAAAAUAAUAAAUCUUCUAAAGCGACUUCGAAUCAUGUGUUAUCUAUUUAUAAAAAAAUCGUUCUGUGACAAAUGAUACGAAAGAAAAAUAAUAAAUUCUGAACAAUACAAACGGACGAUCAAUCAUCAUCGUACCAAGGAAUUAUCUAAAGAAGUUUUCAAUCAUCAUCUAUUUAGCAAAGCAAAAUCAAGAAUUUAUAUAAUAUAUAAUAUAUAAAAAUUAAAUGCAUCCCAAAAGCAGAACCUAAAAGCGUGAAAAAGAGAACAAAAUCAAAAACUUACACAUGUUCAUGGGUACUUGAGAAAUGGAAACACCAAGAAAUGUAAGCAGCAAUGCACACACUGCAACUAGAGUCGUGGACAUGGCUGAGGAGAAUGGAGUCGGUACCGGAUGGACGAACGCCUUCCGCGGAAACAGGUAGACAAGCCUGAGGACACUGUCGACAACGAUAACCACGCCUGCGCCCGCCAGCUCCCUUAUGAAUAUUACACCCUCGUCCAUCAAAGUAUAGUCCUUGUUCCCCGCUAAAUGCAUUUUGAUUAUGUUGAGGCACGAUGUCACAUCUUGACACGGGUCCCUUCCAUCUUGGCCAUCGAUUUAUCGCUGACGUCUGCCAAGGAUUACCAACCUGAGUCGAUGGUUGCAACUUGCGAAUAGAUUUUGCGAAUAAGUUGGUUGGAUCGUUGGAGGAUGCUGAAAGAGAACACCAUUUGUACUUAGUGGAAUUGGAUUGAAGAAAAGUUUACAAAAGUUGCAUAAAAGUUGUUCGAGAAUGCUUAUUAAAUAUAAAAGUUAUAUCAAGUUUUAUUAAGGGAAAAUUUCGUUGCACGUAUUAAAUUUAAGAAAUAUAUUUAAAGCAAUUUUUUAACGAUAAUGUAAAUAUAUUUUUAUUUAUCUUAAUUACGAAACAAAGUCUCGAUCUUGGUGGUGAAUUAUAUCUUAUAAUAUUUCACGUUUAAUUACA